Molecule: ribosomal RNA, 253 nt
Filed under: uncultured bacterium
Lineage: Bacteria
Description: partial 16S ribosomal RNA
Rfam family: Bacterial small subunit ribosomal RNA
Source: RNAcentral
UACGUAGGGUGCGAGCGUUGUCCGGAAUUAUUGGGCGUAAAGAGCUUGUAGGCGGUUUGUCGCGUCUGCUGUGAAAAUCCGGGGCUCAACCCCGGACUUGCAGUGGGUACGGGCAGACUAGAGUGUGGUAGGGGAGACUGGAAUUCCUGGUGUAGCGGUGAAAUGCGCAGAUAUCAGGAGGAACACCGGUGGCGAAGGCGGGUCACUGGUCCGGUACUGACGCUGAGGUGCGAAAGCGUGGGGAGCAAACAGG